AAAUAGCCAUCAGAUUGCUGACAGCUUCUGUUGUACUGGCAAGUUCCUGGCGCAGCCUUGUGGCGCCAUCCCCAGGGCAGGCAAGUAUCCUGCUUAACGCUGUGAGUGACUUGCUUAGCAUUCGAACAACCAUUGUGUCCUCCCGGACAUUGUUGAGAAAGUCAGGGCUGCUCAGUGGUGAUGUGAUCUUAGAGAGCAGCCUUGGGUGUUUGCUUAUCUCUGUACAGUUCUCUUCGCCCUGUGUGAGCCCCUCGAGAAUCAGCAGGCCUUGAGAAACCAGUUCUUUGGGUCCUCUAAAGGUAUAGGUAAAUCUCGACGGCGUGGGGGGCGACGAGGGGGCGCCGGCGACGACAUUGGCCGGGGACGAAGGCAACCAGCGAUGGGGACGGAGAGGAGGCAGCAUUGGGGAUGGAGGACAGCAACGGGGACGAAGGCGGCGGUGGGACGGAGGAGGCGGAGGCGGCGACGGGGACGGAGACCGGCGGUGAGGGAGGCAAACGGGCGGGAUCUCAGACGACGUGGUGAAAAUUUCGCUAAAUCUUGGGCGCGAGGGAGGUGAACAGGCGGGAUCUCAGACGACGUCAGUUACUUUUAUUUCCCCCCCCCCCACACACACACACACCUUUUAUCCCAGUUCGUAAAUGAAUCUGGGACUAAUGAUCAUUUUAUCCCGCGUCCAAUUUGCAACCGGGAUAAAAGCGUUGGCCUUUAUCCCGGUUGUAAUAAGGAACCGGGAUAAAAAGGGUACGUUCUAAGCGGGAACCGAAGAGUACCCUUUUAUCCCGAUUCCAGAUUGUAACUCAGAUAAAAGGAGGCUCCUCAACCGGGAUAAAAGGUCCCUCACCCAUUUUUCAUCUCCCGCUUAUUUUUUAGAAAUGGAUUUUAUUUAUGUUUUUGCUGGAUUUAAUGAAACAAAAAUUAAAAACUUUACAUAUUUCGAACAUGCAAAAAUAUAUUAAAUUAGCAAGUAUAUUUACAAUAAGUUUGAAUGAGUCAUAAAUUCUAUACUAUUCCUUUUUCUUCUAAAAUAAUUAUUUUAGUUCAUCACUAUCAUCAAAUUAAUUAAAUAAUUUCAACACGUGAAAAAUUCAAUUGAUGUAUGUGCUCAACAUUAUUCAUAUUGAUGGAAUAAAUCUUCAUCUCAACUAAUGUUGACAUACAAAUUUAUAUAAGUUUUCAACUGGUUUUGUUAAAGAAAAAAAAUCAGAACUUUGCAUAUUUUGACCAUGCAAAAAUAUAUUAAAUUAGCAAGUAUAUUUACAAUAAGUUUGAAUGACUCAUUAAUUCUAUACUAGUUAUUUUAGCUUCUAAAAUAAUUAUUUUACUGCAUCACGAUCAUCAAGAAAUUAUUCAAUUAAUUAAAUAAUUUCAACGCGCGAAAAAUUCAAUUGAUGUAUGUGGUUAACAUUUUUCAUAUUUAUUGAAUAAAUUUUCACCUCAACUAAUUUAAACACACAAGAAAUCAUAGAUACGUUAAAUUAAAAAUUGUGUCAAGUAGUACAUGAAAUCAUAGAACCUUACAAUAUAACUUUACAUAAAGGUGAAGCAAAUUUAGCGCAUUACAAUGUAACGUUAGAAAACUUUUUCUUCACGAAAGUUCCUUAGUCAUGAUCGCGGCGUAAAUACGGAGCCUCUUCUUUGGAUAGCAAGAUGCAUGUGUCAACUUCAACAGCGAAUGGAGACAGGCCAUCAAAUUGAUCAUAAUCAUCUGAUUGGUCUGUUUUAUCCUUGACUCCAACGAUUUUUCUUUUAAUUGGAAGAAAUAUGUGGCGCUUUGGCUCCCAUGGCUCUUCUGGAUUUCUCUUGGGUUUGCUAGACAUGUCCUUCACAUAGAAAACUUGAUGCACCUCAUUGGCAAGUACAAAUGGUUCAUCACUGUAUCCAGUCUUGCUCAGGUCUACUAUUGUCAUUUCAUACUGAUCUUUGGUUACGCCCUUAGCUUCACCCAUAGGCAACAAAAUAGAGGGAUGCAUACUGGUCCGUAUUCGAGUUCCCAUAUCUCCUCUAUGAAACCAUAAUACGAGUCCUUGCUACUGUUUCUAUCUAUGGCAUCUAUGCGGACACCACUAUUCUGGUUCGUGCUUUUCUGGUCUUGGGCUCUCAUGUAAAAUGUAUAACCAUUGAUCUCGUAGCCUUGGAAUUUCAUGAUUGUGCUAGAAGGUCCCCUAGCUAUCAAGCAAGUUGUGUGUGAAUCUCAGAGUUACCCAUAUGUUGUUGGUGCAACCAGGAGGGAAAAGUUUCCACGCGGCUUCUUAUAAGCCAGGCAUCGGAUCUUGUCAAGUUUUUGGAAACUAGCAUCUGCUUGUGAUGCUCGAUAUACAGAGCCACAACGGUUGACUGUUGCAGAACAUUGUAGUGUGCCUUGUUGAACAAAUCAGUAUCAUUUCUCAAACUUACUUUCCUUCCUAGGGUGCCCAUUUCCCGCAGCCUCCCCUUGUGGCGUGAAGUUGGAACCCCAAUUGAGUCAAUAAAAUUAACACAAAACUCAAUCACCUCCUCUAUUCCAUAUCCCUUGGCGAUGCUUCCUUCUGGAUGGGCAUGAUUAAGAACAUAGUUUUUUAGACUGACAUGAACCUCUCAAAAGGCCACAUAUUGUAUAAGUAUACUAGUCCGAGAAUACUACUCUCUUUUACUAGGUGAACCAGGAGGUGCGUCAUAAUAUUGAAGAAGGAUGGUGGAAAUACCAACUCAAAGCUGACAAGACGUUUGCACCACAUCAUUUUGUAGCUUUGUUAGCUUUGAUGGAUCAAUUGCCUUCUGCAAAAUCGCAUUGACAAACACGCAUAGCUUUACGAGCGGCAAUCGGACAUUCUCUGGUAGAACACCCCUCAGUGCAACCGGAAGCAACUGGGUCAUCAACAUGUGGCAGUCAUGGGCCUUGAGAUUUGUGGCUGUGGCGGAACCACCUCGGAUUAACUCAACUAAAGCACAGUUAAGUCGCUUUAAAUGCGAUACUCAUGCCUUAAUCGUGCUAACUCGAGAUGCCAUCGGAUUUCAUCCGAUUUAACCACUUUGACAGGACCGAGUUUAGCAAAACCCACACGAAGGUGAGUGGUUCCAGAGAAUACAACAGGCCCAACAGUAGAUUAUAAGUUCUUACACACUUGGUUAAAAUCAGAGUUUUACAAGUUCCGAAGAAAACGACAGGAGGUAAACACAAGCGGAAACUAGCGCCGGGGUCGGAUGUCCUUGAUGAGGCCGAUCAGGACAUCAGUGAUCCCUUUCCUUGCCGUCCGAGGAGGGAUCCCACUCGACCGUCCAACCUGGAGGGAGUUGGGGCGGCCAAGAGCCAACAGGAGCAGACUUAGGAGCUGCGACUUCACCUGAAAAGAAAGCCACAAACAAGGCUGAGCUACUAAGCUCAACAAGACUUAACUGACCGGGAGUAAAACUACUCCACCACUUCUAAACAUGCGAGGCUCUUUGGCUGAGGGGUUUGUUUGCCAAAGCACUAAGUAGAUCCUUAUUUUCAAAGUUUUAGCUCAGAUUCUAAGUUCAUUAACCGGUCUAAGUCAGCAACUUACUCUAAGCAACAUAGAUCCAACCAAAAGGGUAUAUAAGCAUCAUCAAGAUCAUGUCAUCAUCAGAUUCCUUUAUUACUCAGUGUAGCAUAGCGAUCAAGUAGUCUCAAACUGCGAGAGGUAGACAAAUCGAUUCGAGUUCUUUAACCAUACAUGGUGAACCUAACCUCAUGACAUCUGCGCACCACCGAGGGUCGCUUCCUGUAUUGGCCUUCCCCAUCAAUUCCCUAACCCGUGUCGGGCCCAUUUCCUUUGGUGCAAGGUUCCACAGACCCGGCCUCUGCCGUUCUGUGACCACACUUGUGUUGGGAUACGAGGUAGGCUACACUAGCGCAAAUCAAAAUUUCUACCGCGUAAAACCAGGAAGAACUGCCGUAUAAGGAUCACGGGAUUACCACUCGACGCACUACUGGUGCGGAAGAUGUAGAUAUGCGUCGAUGCAGUGAAGACGAUCACGUAGUCAUACGUAGUCGAUCAACGUAGUCGUACGUAGUCGAUCACGUCACGUCCAGCAGCUCCUCAGCAGCUCGUCCACGUGCAGCAAGAUCGCCUCUGGUGCCGCGGCUCGUCGUCGGCUCGUCGUGGCUCGUCGGCGGCUCGUCGAUGGCUCGUCCAAGUGCUUCAGGCGCAACACCUCCAAGGUAUCCACACGUGCAGGGAGGAAGCGUCACAAGCCGGACUGCUAGAUCCGCGAGUUGCAACAGGCGAGGGCGUGGGAGGCGCGGCAGGUGUGUUUCGCCAAAAAGGUGUAAACCCUAGGGCGCCCCCACCCCUCUAUUUAUAGAGGUUCCUGACGGGCCUCUAGAUCCGAGGCCCAUUAGUACUUCUAAACCUAAUCCAACUCAGAUCUGAUCCGAAUUGGGCUUCCAGCCCCUUAAGUGUGUGACCCUAUGGGUUCGGAUACGUAUAGACAUGGCCCGAGUACUCCUACUCGGCCCAAUAGUCGGUACCGGCCUCUAGCAAGACGUGCCAACUCCUAUACGUACAUGAAGAUCAUAUCAGACGAACCACCACAACAUAAUAUACAUGCUAUUCCCUUUGCCUCACGAUAUUUGGUCUAGCUUCAAGCCGACCGCUCUUUCUCGAUCCUGUGAUUCGGAAUCCCUUUGUAGGUUAACUCUUAACCGUACGUAGCAUGGCCAUCAUUUUCGGAUCCGAUCACUCGAGGGGCCCAGAGAUAUCACUCUCAAUCAGAGAGGGGCAAAUCCCAUCUUGAUUGACCAUGUCUCAUAGCAUGCUUCUUGACAAACCCGAAAGCUACCUUUAUAACUACCCUGUUACGGCGUAGCGUUUGAUAGCCCCUAAGUAGGUCGAUCCACAUCUAGAAUACAUGCGACAAUCUCAGGUCUAAGGACAAAGCGUAUAUGUUGUUUUAAAGAGAUAACUACUUCUCGUGUUGGGUCAGUCCUAGCACAUGUCUCCACAUGUGUCCACAUUAUUAGUUCAACAUCUCCAUGUCUAUGACUUGUGAAACAUAGUCAUCAACUAAUACAUGUGCUAGUCUAAUAUUCAUGUGUGUCCUCACAUGAACUCCGACUAGGGACAACUUUUAGAAUAAUCAUACAAGUAAAGAGUUUCACAUACAAUUCACAUAAUUGCAAAUCAAUUCAAGUAGCCUUUAAUGGAUAUUCAAUGAACACAAUAUACAAAUCAUGGAUACAAAUGGAAUAUCAUCAUCUCUAUAAUUGCCUCUAGGGCAUACCUCCAACAGUCUCCCACUUGCACUAGAGUCAAUCUAGAAGGUACCUAAUACCCAUAGCUCUUACAUGCACAUCAUGCUUAGCCUGCGGGAGUGGUUUUGUCAACGGAUCAGAAAUGUUCAGAUCCGUGUGUAUUUUGCAUAUCUGAUCUCACCCCGGUUAACGAAGUCUCGAAUGAGAUGAAAUCGCCGCAUUACGUGUUUGUUCUUCUGGUGGUUCCUUGGCUCCUUUGCUUGCGCAAUUGCCCCAUUAUUAUCACAGUAGAGAUUCAAUGGGCUGGACGCAUUCGGGAACACACCAAGCUCAAUGAGGAAAUUCCUUAUCCAAACACCUUCCUUCGCGGCUUCCGAAGCCGCGAUGUACUCGGCUUCUGUCGUAGAAUCGGCCACCGUCUCCUGCUUGGAACUCUUCCAACUAACAGCACCACCAUUUAGCGUGAACACAAAUCCUGAUUGUGACUUUGAAUCAUCUUUGUCGGUUUGGAAACUAGCAUCGGUGUAACCUGUUACAACGAGCUCCUCCUCACCUCCAUAGACGAGGAACAUAUCUUUAGUCCUUCUCAAGUACUUAAGAAUGUUUUUCACCGCUGUCCAGUGACUCUCACCUGGAUCAGAUUAGUGUCUGCUUGUCAUACUUAGCGCAUAUGAAACAUCUGGGCGAGUACUUAUCAUUGCAUACAUGAUAGAUCCAAUAGCCGAGGCAUAUGGCACUCUACUCAUGCGAUCCCGCUCAUCAGCAGUCGAAGGACACUGAGUCUUGCUGAGAUGUAUGCCAUGUGACAUAGGCAAGAACCCUUUCUUUGCCUCUUCCAUGUUGAACCGCUUCAACACUUUGUCAAUGUAAGUAUCUUGGCUUAAACCUAUAAGCCUUCUCGAUCUAUCUCUAUAGAUCUUAAUACCCAGAAUAUAUGCCGCUUCCUCUAAGUCCUUCAUCGAAAAACUAUUUUUCAAUGAAGUCUUUACGGACUCAAGCAUAGGAAUGUUAUUUCCAAUCAGUAAUAUGUCAUCCACAUAUAAGAUUAGAAAUACUACAGAGCUCCCACUAACCUUCUUGUAAACACAAGACUCUUCUUCGUUCUUGGUGAAGUCAAACCCUUUGACCACUUCAUCAAAACGAAUGUUCCAACUCCUAGAUGCUUGCUUCAAUCCAUAAAUGGAUCUCUGAAGCUUGCAUAUCUUUCCAGCAUUUUUCGGAUCGACAAAACCCUCAGGCUGUAUCAUAUACACGUCCUCAGUUAGGUUUCCAUUCAGGAAAGCUGUCUUGACAUCCACCUGCCAUAUCUCAUAAUCGAAAUAUGCAGCUAUAGCUAGAAUAAUCCGAAUAGACUUAAGCAUCACUACGGGCGAGAAGGUCUCGUCGUAGUCAACUCCUUGAACUUGUCGAAAACCUUUUGCGACAAGUCAUGCUUUAUAGAUGUGAACAUUUCCAUCCAUGUCCUUUUUCUUCUUAUAGAUCCACUUGCACUCAAUGGCUUUAACACCAUCAGGCGGGUCAACCAAGUUCCAAACUUGAUUGUCUCCCAUGGACUCUAUUUCGGAUUGCAUGGCACUCUGCCAUUUUUCGGAGUCUGGGUCCAUCAUUGCUUCUGCAUAUGUCGCAGGCUCAUCAUUGUCCAACAAUAAUAUUUCCCGCAUUUCGCGAAGCCUUGCCGACCUUCGUGGUUGUGGCGGUGCUUCUCUUGCCAUGGGUAUCUCAACUUGUUCUGCUACGUUAGCAUCACUCAUUGAUUCUUGCCCGAUCGGCUCAUCUUGAACUUCUUCAAGAUGCACUGUCUUUCCACUCUUUUCUCCUUUGAGAAACUCUUUCUCUAGGAAAACCCCGUUCCGAGCGACAAACACUUUGCCUUCUGAUCGGUUGUAGAAAUAAUAUCCCAAGGUUUCCUUUGGAUAUCCCACGAAAAUACACUUAUCCGACUUGGGUGUGAUCUUGUCCGACUGAAGUCGCUUGACAAACACUUCACAUCCCCAAAUCUUUAGAAAAGACAAACUAGGAACCUUUCCAGUCCAUAUCUCAUAUGGUGUCUUAACUACGGAUUUAGAUGGUACCCUAUUAAGUGUGAAAGCUGCUGUUUCUAGAGCGUAUCCCCAAAAUGACAACGGUAGGUCCGACUGGCUCAUCAUUGAUCGAACCAUGUCUAACAAAGUUCGAUUACGUCGCUCGGACACACCGUUUCUCUGAGGUGUUCAGGCGGCGUAAGUUGUGGAACAAUUCCGCAACUCUUUAGAUGAUUGCUAAACUCGUGGCUCAAAUACUCGCCUCCACGAUCAGAUCGUAAGGCCUUAAUUUUCUUGCCACGCUGAUUUUCAACUUCAUUCUGAAAUUCCUUGAACUUUUCAAAGGUUUCAGACUUGUGCCUCAUCAAGUAGACAUAGCCAUAUCUACUAAAAUCAUCAGUGAAAGUUAUGAAGUAUUGGAAUCCUCCUCUAGCCGUCGUGCUCAUCGGUCCGCAUACAUCACUAUGUACGAGUUCCAACAAGUCUACUGCUCUCUCAGGAAAUCCUGUGAAAGACGUCUUGGUCAUCUUGCCUAGCAAGCAAGCCUCACAUGUCUCGUAUGAUUCAAAAUCAAACGAAGUUAGAAGUCCAUCAGAAUGGAGCUUCUUCAUGCAUUUUUCACUUAUAUGACCCAAACAACAAUGCCACAAGUAGGUAGGACUCAAAUCAUUAGGCCGAGGCCUUUUAGCACUUACAUUACAGACAGGUGAACCAUCAAGAUUUAAGAUAAAUAAUCCAUUCACAAUGGGUGCAAAAGCCAUAAACAUAUUAUUCUUAGAGAUCACACAACCAUUGUUUUCACUCGCAAAUGAAUAACCAUCCUUCAUCAAGCAUGAAGGAGACAAAAUGUUUCGACUUAAACUAGGAACAAAAUAACAAUUAUUCAACUCCAUAAUAAAUCCUGACGGGAGGUGGAGUUGCAUCGUCCCGACGGUCAACGCAGCAACUCUUGCAUUAUUGCCCACGCGGAAAUCAACUUCUCCUCUUUCCACGCUUCUACUUCUUAUCAUUCCCUGCAUCAAAUUGCAAAUAUGAGCAACCGAUCCGGUAUCAAAUACCCAAGAAUUAAUAAUUGUAUCAGCGAGAAAUAUGUUGUCUAUAACAUUAAUAACAAGCGUACCUGAGGUAGAAGUACUCUUACUUCUGCCAUUCUUCAAUGAAGCUAGGUACUGCUUGCAGUUUCUUUUCCACUGACCAAGUUCAUGACAGUAAAAGCACUCUUUGUCUGGAGCAGGUCCAGGUCCAGCUUUAACCUUGGGCGCUGGGUUUGGCUUGGACGUUCCAGCCUUGCCCUUCUUCUUCCAAGAAUUGCCCUUCUUCUUAAAGCUAGGCUUGUUCUGUAUAGCCAUCACAUGGCUGGUACUAGCGCUUUUCUUGAUGUCCACCUCUGCUGUCUUGAGCAUACCACACAGUUCAUUCAAACCCUUUUCCGUCCCAUGCAUAUGGUAGUUCGAGAUGAAGUUCCCAUAGCUAGGCGGAAGAGAUGAAAGAAUGAAGUCAGUGGCCAACUCUUUGCCCAUUGGGAAGCCCAGCUUCUCCAAUCACUGAGUGUAACCAACCAUCUUGAUUACAUGUGGUCCUACUGCUGCGCCUUCUGCUAACUUGCACUCCAGAAAGGCUUUGGACACAUUGAACCUUUCGGUCCUAGCCUGUGUCUGGAACAUGUCCUUGAGUGUCACGAUCAUAUCGUGUGCCUCAUGAUUUGUUUCGAACUGCAUCUGCAGCUCGGGUUCCAUGCAAGCAAGCAUAAGGCAGCUUACCUCAAGAUUAGCAUCAAAUGCCUUCUUGUAAGCAGCCUUAACGGCAGUAGAUGCAUCAUCAGCAGGUACUGGUGGUAGUGGGGUGUCUAGAACAUCUUCCUUUUUAUCGGCCCUGAGAACAAUUCUCAGGUUACGGAUCCAAUCCGAGUAGUUUGUUCCAUUCAACUUGUCCUUCUCAAGGACCGAACGCAAAGCAAACGAUGUGGUGGUGUUGCUAGGUGCCAUUUAAUCUACAACAAAAGUAAUGCAAAAUACACUAAGACAAACGUAUCCAUGAUAGAGCAAAUUAUAUUAAACUAUUUUAACAGAAUCUACUCCCACUAAAAUCAAUAUCCCUCUAUUGAAACUUAGUGAUUCAGGAUCCACAACUAACAAGUCCACUAGUGAGCUUUAGCAUCACCGCUAGCAAACGAGGUAGAUCGGUAAGCAACUUUUGCUAAUCAUAUCACAUAUGACUCCUAUUGUUGGGUGACAUCUCUAUGUCUCGGUGCCCAACCUUUAUGCCCCAAGGUCCUUAACCGUUAAGAUAACCUUGUUAAGCAAACCAACCCUUAUGCAUGUAAGUGUCCGACACAAACCCGUCUAGUCAAGGAAAACUAGUGGCACCCUAAUUUCAUAGACCCACCACUAAUUGUACAAGACAUGGGACGGUGCAAGUUUUAGUUGGGAGGGCAUACUAACUUAAACUUUGUGAGGGAUCGUUCUACUUCUAACAUCACAGCAUGCAGAAAGUAAAACAUAAACAGAAUAGCAUUCACACAGUUGUGACAAAGUAUGGCCCGUUUUCAUAUGGUGAUCUCCAUCUCCAUAGAACCUGUUCACCAUGGUGAUCUCCAUCUCCAUGUUCCAUGUGUGCCAUCCUCCUGGUGAUGAGUCCUCCAAGAACUAGAGCAUGCUAUUACGCCUAAUAGCUAGUAAAGAAUCUAGUAAUGAAGAUUACAUAGUUGCUUGGAUCAUCACAGAUUGGUACGCAGACCAUUAAAUACAAUAAAGUGACAACACAUAUGACUCCUGCCGUGUUGCCGUACGCGCGACACGCAGGUCACAAAUGAGUUACACACAUGCAUCACAUACACAAGGGGCCAUACUGAUCACAAGAUACAUACAUAUAUCCUGCAAAACAGAGUUAGGCGUCCUAACGUUCCAAACUUCGGAGGCCCGAAACUCCAUCUUCCAAGCCGAAUUUGGGAAAUCUAAUUUUGCCGAAAACGGCAAAGCCGUUGAAUUUCAUGUGUAACUUUUUCCGUAGAUCAAUUUUCAUAUAAAAUUCGCCCCGAUCCGAGAUCAUACCGAAAAGUUACGGCUGAUUUACCGAAGUAUACGCAUACGACAAAAAUCCCGACCCCGGCAGUAGAUCACAUCUACCAUUGCACAUCUAAUGCGCCUGGCGUAUGACCCUGGAUUUCGAUUCGACCAAUCAUAUUGAUCUUCGCUCACUGCAACUGGAUUUACAUGUAUCACUUAACUCCGAUGGCGGAAACCGACCGGUAGGAGUAUGUCGUUACACUACCAUUGCAGCAAGGGCACGAAAACAGGACAUAGAUCAAACGGAAAACUCGCAUAUCUCCAUAUGCACACAUCCCGAAUCCAAAACUAAGCAGCUACGGCUCUUGAUACCACUGUUGGGAUACGAGGUAGGCUACACUAGCGCAAAUCAAAAUUUCUACCGCGUAAAACCAGGAAGAACUGCCGUAUAAGGAUCACGGGAUUACCACUCGACGCACUAUUGGUGCGGAAGAUGUAGAUAUGCGUUGAUGCAGUGAAGACGAUCACGUAGUCGUACGUAGUCGAUCAACGUAGUCGUACGUAGUCGAUCACGUCACGUCCAGCAGCUCCUCAGCAGCUCGUCCACGUGCAGCAAGAUCGCCUCCGGUGCCGCGGCUCGUCGUCGGCUCGUCGUGGCUCGUCGUCGGCUCGUCAUGGCUCGUCCAAGUGCUGCAGGCGCAACACCUCCAAGGUAUCCACACGUGCAGGGAGGAAGCGUCACAAGCCGGACUGCUAGAUCCGCGAGUUGCAACAGGCGAGGGCGUGGGAGGCGCAGCAGGUGUGUUUCGUCAAAAAGGUGUAAACCCUAGGGCGCCCCCACCCCUCUAUUUAUAGAGGUUCCUGACGGGCCUCUGGAUCCGAGGCCCAUUAGUACUUCUAAACCUAAUCCAACUCGGAUCUAAUCCGAAUUGGGCUUCCAGCCCCUUAAGUGUGUGACCCUAUGGGUUCGGAUACGUAUAGACAUGGCCCGAGUACUCCUACUCGGCCCAAUAGUCGGUACUGGCCUCUAGCAAGACGUGCCAACUCCUAUACGUACAUGAAGAUCAUAUCAGACGAACCAUCACAACAUAAUAUACGUGCUAUUCCCUUUGCCUCACGAUAUUUGGUCUAGCUUCAAGCCGACCGCUCUUUCUCGAUCCUGUGAUUCGGAAUCCCUUUGUAGGUUAACUCUUAACCGUACGUAGCAUGGCCAUGCAUUUUCGGAUCCGAUCACUCGAGGGGCCAGAGAUAUCACUCUCAAUCAGAGAGGGGCAAAUCCCAUCUUGAUUGACCAUGUCUCAUAGCAUGCUUCUUGACAAACCCGAAAGCUACCUUUAUAACUACCCUGUUACGGCGUAGCGUUUGAUAGCCCCUAAGUAGGUCGAUCCACAUCUAGAAUACAUGCAACAAUCUCAGUUCUAAGGACAAAGCGUAUAUGUUGUUUUAAAGAGAUAACUACUUCUCGUGUUGGGUCAGUCCUAGCACAUGUCUCCACAUGUGUCCACCUUAUUAGUUCAACAUCUUCAUGUCUAUGACUUGUGAAACAUAGUCAUCAACUAAUACAUGUGCUAGUCUAAUAUUCAUGUGUGUCCUCACAUGAACUCCGACUAGGGACAACUUUUAGAAUAAUCAUACAAGUAAAGAGUUUCACAUACAAUUCACAUAAUUGCAAAUCAAUUCAAGUAGACUUUAAUGGAUAUUCAAUGAACACAAUAUACAAAUCAUGGAUACAAAUGGAAUAUCAUCAUCUCUAUGAUUGCCUCUAGGGCAUACCUCCAACAACUUGCCACCACAUGCGGCUGUAGGGGAACUUCGUUCCAAGGACAAUGGGGUUAGUACUUUCAAACACUUGAUCAUGAACACCACCACUGUCAGGCCUUAACAGAUUCCAUAGACAGACGGGGCGAUUAGCCGACCACCAAAAGUUAACCAGAAUCCUGCCCCAUCCAUUGUCCUUAUAGUUGUAACAGAAGGAGAAACAACCAACUCCUAUAACUCGCGAGUGACAGGAAAUCACUCGACUUUUAUCCUAUUUAAGCAUAGCAACUACUCGGUCCAACAAACUAGUGUUCAGAUCAAGGAACUACACCAUGCAUCUACGGUUGCAAACAACUCCUAACGUAAAUGCACAAACAGGAUGAAGAAGGCAUGUGCAAGUUUAGGAAAAUUGGGGUUCAUGCUCCAGGGCUUGCCUUCAAGCGAGGAGGAAGGGAAUUGGUCUUCUACUGGGGCGGCUUCGGCUUCUGGGAGCGGUAGCUCGGCUACAGCUCUAUCUUCGGGCGCCGGGUACAGCUCGUAGAUGCUGUCAGCGAGAUGCAACUCUACACGAAUGCAAAGCAGGAGUUAGUGUUUUAGACGGAUUAAUUCAACAACACUUGCAGUUAAAGCUCGAACACUGGUAGCAAAGCUACAGAAUAGGUCGGGAAGUUUACUUAAGUUGGUGGAAAGCAAGAUCAAAGGGUCGGGUGGGAAGAAACUUAUGAUCGGACCCUUAGACUAGAGGAUUAGCUGUGCUGGGGUCCUCAGACGUAAUGUAGAGAAGUUCUCGAUUUUUACACAUAUACCCUCGGGUCAAGGAAAAAGGAUACAGCUGAGUCCUCGGGUGAGGCAGAAAAGGGUCGACGAAACAGACAGGGUCGGGCGAGAUGGAGAAAGGGGUCGGGCAAACAGACAGGGUCGGGCGGGGUGGAAAAGGGGUCGGACGGACAGAUAGGGUCGGGCGAGGCGGAAAAGGGGUCGGACGGACAGACAGGGUCGGGCGAGGCGGAAAAGGGGUCGGACGGACAGACAGGGUCGGGCGAGGCGGAAAAGGGGUCGGCAGCUUAUCUUCGAUUUAUAGGUGAAGCUUUGGGGUCGGGAAGGAGCGGACUUGGGCGGAAGGACUGAAGCACUAAAACUUGGGCAGCGGCGAUGUCCGGCGGUGCUCCGGCGGUGGCGGAGCUUCUUGUGGGCAACAAGGAAGCUCUAGCACAGCGCAGAGGAGUAAGCGGCUGGGUGGAUUGGGAAAGGAGGGUGUUGAGCGGAGAGGAGAGUUCCUCAGGAACUUAGGUGGCAGCGCUCGAGCACGAAACAGAGGAACAAGGCGGUAAGGCAGCGAUGGCGAAGGGAACUCCGGUAGGACUCUAGCGUUCCCUUUUAUAGCUGCGCGGGAAGAGAGAGAGAGCUGGAGCAGCACGAAGACCGGGAAGAAAAGAGAUGGAGUGCGCUGCCAUGGAGGUGAUUGAGCAGCGAUGGGUGGCGGAACAGGGCUUCGGGGAUGACACCUUCGGCCAUUGAGCACUGGAGAUAGGGCGGCGCAGGCACGGUUUUGCCGGUGAUUGCGGUUUGGCGGAGGCGGGCGUCGUUGUGCGGCGGAUCUGAUGGGUGUGACAAGGGAAACGGCGCUAUAAGCGAGGUUGUACAGGUGAUAAGACAGGCGGGCUGCGGCUGCGCGGGCGAGCGCGAAGCAGCGGUUUGCCGGGGUGCAGCUCUGGCAAGGCGGAAAGGAGCUGUCGCGGCUGGGGUUAGGGUUGGCGAAGGAGGAAUCGUCGUUUAGUGCAUAUGGGGCGGCGCGACUUUGGAGGGGCGGCGGAAAAGCCGGGAGGCAUCGGGCCUUGCAGCCGGGGGUCCGGCGAGGUGAUGAUGGGCACGAGCUGCAAGGCGCUGCAGAAAGGGUUGCAGAGGGGCUUCCGCUGCGAUUGGGGAAGAAGGCACGGGAAUCCAUCCGGUCGCGGCCGGUGACGGGGCGGAGCGGCGGGGGUCGGAGGAGUUGAGCCACGCGGCGGAGAAACUCUGGAGCAGGCAUGCUACUCAAGUGCGUCUGCCUCGGGAGAUCUGGGAAAAGAUAGCGGGUCCACCGGUCAGUCUCGAUUUGUCCUCUGCUCAAGAUUAAGAAGGGCACUGCCUUGGGGAACUCAGAAGGGACCGACGGAAAGGGGUCGGGUUCUCAGGAGUCGGGACCGGAACUGGAGGUUGAGCACUUAGGCUCAGGGGGAGCUGAGAUAGGGGGAUCAGGGACUCAGAUUAAGAUUAACUCGAAAGAUUUAGGGUCGAUCGUCAGAGCGAUCUUCUUUUCUUUCAUAUUUAUUAUUCCCUUUAUAUUCAAGGAUUACCCAAAUGGGAUCUUCAUACUAUUCAAGCAUUCAAACAUGUUAUCCUUCUCUUCCUUGCUGAGAGUGUAACUAGCAGGACGUAAGUAGUGUUGUCCUUUAUCUCUCUUUUCCGAAUGUAGGUCAUCCUGCUGCCCCAUGGCUUUCAGGUCCUGUUGUGCUUCCAAUGUAUCUUUUGAGGGCCCAUAAACACCCAUGAAGCCUAGCACAUUCACGCAAAGGUUCUUCAUCAGGUGCAUCACGUCUAUUGCGUUACGAACCUCUAAGAUUUCCCAAUAAGGUAGCUCCCAAAAUAUUGACUUCUUCUUCCAUAUGGCUGCACAUCUGUCAUCGUCAUUCGGAACAAGUUGGCUACCAAGACCUUUUCCAAAGGCUACCCUUACAUCCUUCAUCAUCUCAAAAACACACUUUCCAUUACGGUGUGUAGGUUUUUUACGAGUUUCUGGGGGCCCUUUGAAAUGCAUCCUGCUGUCUCUCAGCUGGUGGUGAGCGGGGAGAUAUCGACGAUGACCCACAUAGAUGACCUUCUUACAGUGCUUCAAAUAUAUGCUAUCUGUGUUUUCUAAACAGUGAGUGCAGGGCUGAUAUCCCUUGUUUUUCUGUCCUAAAAGGUUACUCAGUGCAGACCAAUCAUUGAUGGUUAUGAAUAACAAUGCUCGUAGGUUAAACAUCUCUUGUUUAUCCUCAUCCCACAAACGCACACCUUCUUCCUUCCAGAGCUAUAAAAGUUCAUCAACCAACGAUUUUAGGUACACGUCAAUGUCGUUGCCGGGUUGUUUUGGGCCUUGGAUAAGCGCCGGCAUCAUAAUGAACUUCCGCUUCAUGCACAACCAAGGAGGAAGGUUGAACAUACAUAAGGUUAGAGGCCAAGUACAAUGACCACUACUCAACUCACCGAAUGGAUUGAAUCCAUCAGUACUUAAAUCAAACCUUAUGUUCCUUGCAUCACUUUCAAAGUCCAGGAAUGCUCUAUCAAUUGAUCUCCAUUGAUCCCCAUCAGCGGGGUGUCUUAGCAUCUUAUCUUGCUUACGUUAUUAUUUGUGCCAUCGCAUCAACUUAGAAUUUACCUUGUUCCUGAACAAGCGCUUCAAGCGUGGUUAUAUAAGGAAAUACCACAUCACUUUCACAAGAACUCUCUUCUUGGGAGGCUACCCCUCGACAUCACCAAGAUCAUCUCACCUGAUCUUAUACCGCAGUGCUUCGCACAUGGGACAAGCAUCCAGUUUCUCGUAUUUAGCACCGCGAUAGAGGAUACAAUCAUUAGGACAUGCGUGUAUCUUCUGAACCUCCAAUCCUAGAGGGCAAACAAUUUGUUUAGCUUCAUAUGUUGUGGAUGGCAAUUCAUUAUUCUCGGGAAGAAUCUUCUUGACAAUUUUCAACAUCCCCUGAAAUGCCUUAUUGGACACACCAUAUUUGGUCUCCAUUGCAUAAAUUCUAGUAUGGUACCUAGUUUUUUAGGCCCUACUAGCAAUCUGGGUACAAUAAUUUUUGGUGAUCAUCUAUCAUGCACUACAACUUUGCUGCUUUCUUGUCAGUUUCGCAAUCUCUUUGUGCAUCCCUUAGCACCUGACCGAGGUCAUCAGUAGGGCCAUCUUCUACAAACUCAUCUUCAUCAACCUCGUCCAUUGUAGUAUCUGCAAAAGCUUGGCCUGCAUCUCAGAUCAGAAUAUUGUCAUCAUCAUCCUCCUCUUCGCCGUCUUCCAUUACAACCCCUCUUUCACCGUGCUUGGUCCAAACUAAAUAGUUAGGCAUGAAAUCGUAUCUAAAGACGUGACUAUGAAUAGUCCCCCAGAAAACCUUUGAAUAGUCCUUCUUGUUACUGCAUUGGGUGCAUGGACAACAUAUGAACCCGUUCCAUGGCUUGUUCGCUUUGGCCACUUUGAGAAAAUAAUGCAAGCCAUCAAUAAACUCCUUGCUCCGUCUAUCCCCAUUAUACAUCCAUUGCUGGCCCAUUUGCAUCAAAUUACACAUGAAAAUGAAUUACGCAUGAAAAUAGAUUACAAUCAAACUAUCCAUCACAUUGCUAAAAGUUUAGAUAGAAAUACACAAAUUAAAAUUUCAGACCCAAACAAUAUGGUACACUACAACAAACUCAAAUGUUGCUGAAAGUUUACAUAGAAAUACACAAAUUUAAAUUUGAGACCAACAACAAUAUGAUACACUAUGACAAACCAUUCACUAAGUACUAUCUAGAAGGACUUCAAGCAUUCUUGGGCGGCGAAGAUGAAGGUUUCGCUGACCCAGCCUCAUCCUGUGGUUUAUUUGUACAUCCUACAACGGUAGUACUAAGUGGACCUAAAAUACCCGGGACUGGCAGUGGAGCAUAAUGACCACCAAAAGGAGGUUCCUGACCCGCCGCAACAACAUCUUCAUAACAUCUUCGCAAAUAAUGAAGCAUUGUUUUCUCCCACACGCUCAUUUCUUCAGCUUAUCGUGAGGGCCAAUUAUGGCUUUCCCCUUGCCACGAGAGGAACGACGAUCUCCCCCACCAUCCCACUACCUCCAGCAGCAAAAGCCAUCCCUAUGUACCACAAUUUAUUUAGCUCAUAUUUGCAAAUAACUAUCCCACAUAAUUUACUUAUUCUAAAAAUAACUAAUUACGUAGCUCUAUUUGAAAAGUACUAAACUACGAAAGUACACCUACAAUUUAUUUACCUUAAUUUUAUGGCUAAUUUCUAAAUAUUAAAAACACAUUUACUCUAAUUUUUUCCUAAUACAUAAAAUUAAAAUCCUCUCCAUUCUACCUCACAUUUACUCUCCAUUAUCCCUCACAUUCAAACUAUCCAUCACAUUGUAACUAAAAAAUAUGUAUAAAUACAAAUCCUCUCCAUUCUCCCUCUUUCUAACAAGCAAACUCAUUUUUCUCCCUCUCUAAAGUAUAAAACAAAGCAUAACAACAAUAAAUGAAUGGAGAAAUGAAGUAGCUAACCUUCACAACACUUUGGAUGAGUGAAAUCCCCACAGAAAUGAGGGAAAAAAAUUCGGCAGCACCUCCCCUAGGCUUGCUUCAGCGCAUGGAAAGGAUGAGCUUCUCUGUCUUUGUGGAAUGGAGUGGCCUGGGCUGGACGAGUGGAGGAGGAAGAAAGGCCUCUAUCUUGCAGCUUUAAGGGGAAAAGAUUUUAUCUUGGUUGGUAAAUCCAACUGGAACAAAAGUGUGACACUUUUAUCCCGGUUGGAGUUUACUCCUUGUUGGUGGUUCCAACCGGGACGAAGACGCCACCCUUUUUAUCCCGGUUGGAAUUACCAACGAGGAGUGACAUUUUCUAGUUGAGUAACUCCAACGGGGAUAAAAGGAUGGCGCUUAUAUCCCGGUUGGAACCACCAACAGUGACAAAAAUGUGGCGCCAUCGGUGCUCGGAAUCUAGCCGUUACAACCGGGAUAAAGGGGGGGGUCUUUAGUCCCGAUUGUAAAUACCAACCGGGAGUAAAGGUCUGCCCCAUUCCAGCGGUGCACCCCCUUUUCUUCCAGGCCUACUUUAAAUCGGGACUAAAGGGCGCGGAUCGAAAGUCAGUUCUCUACUUUAGUGCACGUUUCUAAAAAUAGAUGAACCUAAUUAAUAUAGUAAGGCUAAGGCACAAAGGCUGGCUCAUCCAUCUGAUGCACGAAUGACCACAUAUCUGUUUCUAUCAAAGGCAUCAGUUGAUAGUGACCGGACCACCGAAUAGAGACAUGGGCUGGAUUUUGUGCAUGAAGAUGAAGGCCCUACCAGCUUAAUCUUGCGGCUUGUGUAGAUCGGCAAAGCAGGGCGGACGUGAAGGUCGUCACCCUCUGAAGUUGCAGGUUGCUUUAACCAGCAUCCAACGUAGGCAACUCUUUGUGCUUUAAUCUGUUGCAUGCUCAACACUACCGGCAUGAUCCUAGUGCACCAGCUGCUCUGAAGAAAAUCGUUGUUGUGGUUCAGUAUCACCAAACAGAUGCUACUGUGAAGUGUGCUACUGCCAUUCUAUCCAUACAGUGUCGACUCUUCCUUUUCCUGAAAAACACAGCAGCUCUCUGUCAGUUUACUGAUGGAGAAAGAGUUGAAUAUAUUAUAUUGAGAGAUGGCACACCUUGAUUACAUAUGCGACGCACCUUUUAGUUGUUUUCAGGCUGAUGCGUAUUUCCCUUUUGCCUUGUAUUCCCAACCAGCCGUGCAGAGUAGUUGCAACUGGCCUAUCCAACCGGAAUGCAACUGGCCUAUCACACGAGUCGCAAUUGGUAUACCAUUAGAGAAUUGGUCUAGCACCGGUGUUGCAAUUUGUGUACGACGGAAGUUGCAAUCGGUUGACCGUCUAAGUUGCAAGUGGUAUACAAACGUAGCUACAACUAGCCAUCCAGGGCAAUCGCAACUAGCCUACCCAACCGGAAUGGAACUGGCCUAUGACACGAGUCGCAACUGGUCUACCACCAGAGUUGCAAUUUGUGACGACGGAAGUUGCAAUCGGUUCAAGGGAUGAGUUGCAACUCAUAUACAAACAGUGCUGCAACUAGCCGUCUAGGGCAGUCGCAACUGGCCUAUCACACGAGUCGCAAGUAGUCUACUAGAAUAUUGCAAUUUGUUUACGACGGAAGUUGCAAUUGGUUCAAGGGAUGAGUUGCAACUGGUACACAAACAGUGCUGCAACCAGCUGUCCAGUGCAGUCGCAACUGGCCUAACCAACCAGAAUGCAACUGUCCUAUCACACGAGUCGCAACUCGUCUACCACCAGAGUUGCAAUUUGUGUAUGACGGAAGUUGCAAUUGGCUGAGGGUCUGAGUUGCAACUAGUAUACAAACGGAGCUACAACCAGCCAUCCAAGGCCGUCGCAAUUGGCCUACCCAACCGGAAUGGAACUGUCCUAUCACACGAGUCGCAAUUGGUCUACCACCAGAGUUGCAAUUUGUGACGACGGAAGUUGCAAUCGGUUCAAGGGAUGAGUUGCAACUGGUAUACAAAUGGUGUUGCAACCAGCCAUACAGGGUAGUCGCAACUGGUCUACCACAAGGUUGUAAUAAGGGCACUUAUCUGAUUGCAUCUAGUGCCAGUUGCAACCGGGCCCUUAACUGAUUGCCUCUGUUUCUGAUUUAAAAAAAAAAAACUCCUCUGUUCCAGCAGUGCAGGGGACAACCAUGAAACAACAGAAUCCUUCCAUUCCACCAAGCAAGAACCUAACCUGCACGGAGCCAAAACUACCACCCCCACCAUCAUCUAUCUGCGACUACUACGAGGGAUAACAGUAACAGCACACUGGCGGCGACGACAUUCUCAGAUGGAGGUGGAAUCUUGCACGAAGUAUAUGUAUCUGCUGAUUCAAAUAUCAUUCAGUAAAAUUCAGCAUGAAAACUAAAUAAGUGUAUCAUCUUUACCACCAAUCUCAUUUCAAAGUUGAUGGCAAUGACAUGUUUUAUCUACAUGGUGUGUUUCUGCAUUCCAGCGAUAACGGGGAGAAAUCAAAACAAAAAUGAAUACUAUUUUCUUUACAUUGACAUUUGUAAAGUAGUAUGGCUCUAGGUUUAUGUUGAUCCCCAUUCCCAGUUCUUGGUCAAAAUGAACCAUUAAGCUGGUCAAUCUAGGAACCAGCCAGUGAUGCCGAGUUCACAGCGGUACCAAAGAAGAGCUCCCAGAACCAAAGAUCCACCGCGAGCACUGAAGAAAAGAUGAGCAGAGCAAGUGUCCCAUAUCUAUUCAAAGGCCAGCCUGAAGCCUCUGCCAGUGUCUUCAAGAAUGGGAGGGAUUUGCUUUCUAGCUCUCGUCUCCUUAUUGACCAUGCUGUAACCCACUGCACAUCAGCUGGGACCAUAUGGAGCUCUUCUCCAAGGCGUCUACCCAGGUCAGGCAUAUGUCCACCACCAUAAAGAACUGCUAUUCUCUUGUACCCGCGGUUUAUUGCUUCCUUUAUCUUCUCAGUGGCAACUCUGUUCGAUAAACUGACUUUUCCUCAACAGGAGAUGUCACAGCUGUGAAUCUUUAAUAAAAACAAAAAAUAAUUAGUUCAUACUUCACUUACACUUAUUUUGCCUGUCUGGAUUCAGAGUACUCACUCAGAUGUCAGUUGCUUUGCCAAGAAAAUCUUCAGUGCAGCUCCAAAAUCUAGCUUAGACAAUGCCUCCAGCUCAGGAAAUCCAUCUUGGUUCUCUACUGGCAUCUUGAUUUUCUCAGAAAAUUUCGCUUGGCAUCAAAUAGGAACACGAUGGGGAAACGAAGGAACUCGAGAAAAAUCGAGUGGAUGGGUACCAAAUUGCUCGCGCUUCUAGCAGACGACAGGCUCGUGCAAAAUCAAGCAACGUGACGCCACGGGGGAUUCAAUCCCCGCACCCCAGCAGCAAACAUUCCUCAAAGGAAGCACGAACUUGAAAAUCCGCAUCAGCAACCACCAAUCUGGGUCCCAAAAUCGUGCCGAGCCGAGCAACAAACGAAUCCAGCAUCGCGAUGAACUAAGCAGAAGUGGGGAUGGGGAUCCGGCGGCGGCCAUCGACGAGCUCAGAGCUCCAGGGCCGAGACGAGCCUCCCGCUGGCUGCGCUCGCUCGCCCCCUGCUCGUGCGCUCGCCGCUCGCACCGAGGGGAUCCGCAGCCGCACGUGCAGACGCAUGGUCGCAGACGAGCGGGGAGGGCCCGAGGGGGCCUGACUCUAGAAAACCUGAAAAAACUCCACUGGGAAUCCAUCAAGCCCGGAGCUUUUGUUAUGCUUCACUUGAAAAAUAGCUCCUCUAACUUCCUUUUCAGUAAACUUUUUAAUCAAGAUCUCAUUUUCUUCUCUUGACACUUGUGGGAUAUCCUCUGUCAAGGAUUCGUUCGUAGAACAAAUGUUUCUUAUCCGUGAUCCAAAUAAGAUUUUAUAAUACUUAGUUAUGUAUUUUUUAAGAUUUACAUCCCCUUCUAUAAUUCCCUCUUCUUGUUCCACCUGAAAACUCUAGUUUUCUGAUGCUUGCCAUUAGCUAUCAUAUGAAAAUAUUUUGCAUUGUUGUCCCCAUUUAGCAUCUUAUUGCUUUUCGCUCUUUGAUACCAUUUUAUUUCUUCUGAUCUCAAAAGCUAUAGUCUAUCCUGAAUAUAUUGCUUUAAAUCACUUUCUUACUGACUUAGUAGCUACGAUUCUACCUUUUUGUCUAGCUCAUUUGCCUUUUUAAGGAGCUCUUGUUUUUUUUAUAUUCCCCAUUCACAUUUUUUGCCCAUCUUCUCAGAAAUUGCCUUACCCUUCUGAUCUUGUUUUGCUAUUUUUGAAGAGGAGUGGAACCUUUUCUUUCUUUGCUCCAUACAUCAGAUACUAGUUCAAAAAAAUCCUCCCUUAAAAGCCAUCUUAGUUCAAAUUUAAACAUGGGUUGCUUUCUGCUCCCACCUUCCUGUCCAAUGUUAAACAGCAAAGGUGUAUGAUCUGAAAUUUCCCUACUCAUGGUAUCAUCCGUAGCUAAAGAAAAUUGUUGUUCCCAUUCCGUGCUGACCAACACUCUAUCCAAUUUUUCAUAAGUUGGGGUUUUUAAGGAAUUAGCCCAUGUAUACUUCCUCCUAACAUUUCUACCUCCUUUAAAUUUAAGCUAUCUAUGACAACAUUAAAAAGAAAGGGCCAUUUAUCCUCAUACCUUUCAUUGUUUUUUCACAUAGGUUUCUUAUGAUACUAAAAUCUCCCCCAAGUACAAUGGGUAAGUUCUCUUUACUACAAGCAUGUACAAGCUCAGUAAGGAAAGCUUCCUUAAAUUCUGGCUGUGUUGCCCCCUUAGACAGUCACCAAUACAAACUAGAAAUUGUCCUUUCUUGUCCUUAAUCUAAACUUCACAUAAAAAUCUCCUUCAUCAAUACUACCUAUGUCUAACUCAUCUAGAUCUACUGCUAAGAGAAUACCACCUGAUCUUCCAUGUGGUUUUGUCCAAUGUCAAAUAAAAUUUUUACCCCCACAUAAAUUACUUAGUGUGGUUUGGGUAAAAUCUCUUUUUCCUGUUUCUAGAAGAGCAAUGAAAGAUAAGUUAUGCUCUUUGGUAGUAUCCAAGAGAAAUAUUAUUUUAGCCAAGUCACUAAGACCUCUGCUAUUCUAGAAGAUUCCCCUCAUUUGGAAACAAUAUUGACAUUAAAUUUGGAAAUUUUUACUUUACAAGUCUUUCUCUUUUGCGACUUAGCACAAGACUUGUGUUUUCCAACCUUAGAAUAGUAUUCUAUGUAACUAUUAUCCUCAUCAAAAACUUCUUCCAAAAGUUCCCCACAAAGGUUCUGAAUUGCUCUGCUUUCUAUUUCUUCUCUCUCCUUAUCCUCCCUGUCACUGUCCAUAGUCAUCUCACUUUGGUUAUCUAACCCUUCGUAUUGAUCUAUAACACUACUUUCUACAGUAAGGAUUUCUCUUUCCACCCUUUCCCUCUCCUUUUCGCCCUCACCCAGCCUAACACCUAGUUGGCUUACAUUACAAACAACAUUAUUCAGAGGAAAAGGAAAACAAUGUUUAGUAUCAGUGUUACCUUUAUUAUGCUCCAGGUUCUUUCUAGCUUUCAUCUUUCUGUCUUACUUAGAAUGUGCUCAUCCCCUGAGUUAGCCAAUCUUGGACUAGCCCUUGUUGGCGUGAUUAGUACCUCAGGAAUUGUAGCCACCUUCUUCAAAUCAUCUCUUCCCUCUUCCUACUCCCAACUGCUCUCUACCUCCUGUUCUUCAUUUUGAUCAUUCAUCACCUGAUCUGCCAAAUCCUCCGGAGUUUUAUCCACCGCUCUAUUCAUUAUUUCCUUAGCCUUUUCCUUAAGAAACAAUUUAAAAUCCAUUUCAUUCAUCCUUUGGACUCUCUCUUUGAGUGAUUCUUUAUCAGCCCAGCCUUGCUCAACCUGCUUAUUUUCUGUACUGUUGUCUUCCUUCUCUUUGCACAUACUGCUAUUUUUCCUUCUUUUUAUCUCUAUUCAUAUCUGGUUCAUCCUCCAUGAGAUCAUCAUCACUGUCUUCUCCCUAUCCUUGUCCUUCUGCAUCUCCCUUCCAAUCAAAUACAACUUCCUCUCCAUUCUCAUCAGUCCCCCUUCUUUCCACCUCAAGAUCUAGUUCAAAGUAAUGAUCCUCUAUCACCACAUCUAGAUGUAGGGGGAUAAGUAAGGGGUUAAGGGCUGCCACACAUACCCUUCCAAAUUCAUUUUCUCUAGUCAUCUCCAUAUCAACAGUUUGGGUAGAUCCCAGCAUUGAUCCCACUGCCCAUAGAUUCACAUACUCCCUUAAGGACUUUCUCAAACCAAACACUCUUACCCACACUUUAGGGAGAAGAAACCCAUCUUUUUUCUCUUGCCAAGCUUCAAAUUGCAGUCUCACACAUGUCUGCACUCCAUCUUCUCUAACAUCUACCCCUCCAAAAGCUAUUGCUCUCUAAAGUUCAGAUUUUGAGGGGAAUUUGGUAAUGAAAGUGUUAUCUUCAUUAUCCUCUAAUUCCCAUUUCCAUUUUCCAGAAUACAGCCUUUGCAAUUGUGAGACUACGUGUUUCUUGGAUAGCUGCCCUCCUCCAAUUCUAAUCUGGGCCUUCUUACCAAAUAAGAAUAGACCAAUGUGCGAGUGCUAAGGUGCAUGGGAAAUUGGAGACAGUAGAUUGGAGGCGAUACAUUGGGAAAUCAGUAUUGUAGCAGUUAGCUACUUGUUUGCUGUCAGGUACAGAAUCCUGAACAGAUGGCAUCUGCUUGACUUCAGUAGUUCAGUUAGUCUCUGUUUCACCAGGGGAUGUACUUGUUGCAACUAGUUCAGUACGAAGACUGAUAUGGGAGCAUCACACAAACCGUGAUAUUAACAGAAAAAAUGGGGUUACAGAUACAAAACUUAGAUAGCACGCAACUACAUUGUCAAGAAGAAUUGUAGAUCCCAGUUCUGGAAUAAGAAUAAGAAUACAGAUUUUUUAUUUUGUCAAACAAAUAGCCCAGAAGACGAUCCAAGAUAAAUCUUUGAUAAAAACAAGAUAAUAUACUUUGAUAAAAACAAGAUAAUAUACUUAACGAUGUCCCCUUUGUCAGACAGAGAUAUCAAUUACCCUGUUCUUGUGCUGUCUUUAGGAGUUCUUGUGCUUCUUUCACUAGAGAAGCGAGAGACCUCGCUGGCUUGAUCACCUCACGAUCAUUCCCAGCAAAGAGCAUGCAGUUAUCAACCUCUGACAUGGUUCCCAAAGUCUCGGUCAGUGCUUCCUUGAAAUUAUGUUCCUUGAAAUAUCGGAUGCAGCUGGGCUUGGCUUGAGUCAUAGCUAUCACCAUCUGGCAGGUAAGUUUCACUACUCUCAAACACUCAGACUCAGCCAUGCAUUGCUUGUUUACUUUCAGUAUGUCUUUGAGCUUCUUCGCAAGUGCUGCAUCUUCAGGGGUGGAUCGAGCAAAAUCUUCUCUACUGAUCACAUUUUCUUUGCAUAUCACCACGGCGAGGGAUAACAUGGCUGCCAUAAACUUUCUAUCUUCUGGGGGCUGGUUUUCCACAAAAUUUUCAGCUGCAUCUGCACCCAUUUUACUAGAUAAUAUUUGAUCGAUCACCUGUAACAAACAUAAUAAUUUGAUGCAAAGGAUCAGCAAUAUUGAUGCAACUCAUCUCUAGUGGAAAUUUUUGUACACUACAGAAUUAAGAGAAAUUAACUGACAUCUGAGAAUUGGGAAUAAGAUCCAACAUGAUGCAGAGGCAGAAGAAGCGAGAGUUGUUGUCAAUUCUUCUUUUGUUCUAAACAAAAUAGGCAGAGGUAGCUAGUUACCUUGGUCAAUAGGUUGAUCGCCUCUUGCUUGGAAAUUAUAUCAGCAACAUAAACAUCUCUUUCUCUUGCAGUGCUAACGGGAAUCAACCUGGCCAGUGCUUCCCCUGCUUUUCCCCUCAUCAGUCUGGUGGCAUUUUCCCUGUCUGCUUGUUCCACUUGAACUACAGUAUUAUUGCUGGGCGCUUCCUCAAGGAAGAUGCAUAGCAGGGCCUUGAGAAGCUUGUUAAACUCCAGCUUUUUGAAAGAAUCAUCAAAGGCUAGCUCCGUCAGGAUCUCCAGGGCUUGUCCAUGCAGUUCUUGGGCAGCUCCGCUGUCAGUCUCCAAAAUAGCCAUCAGAUUGCUGACAGCUUCUGUGGUACUGGCAAGUUCCUGGCGCAGCCUUGUGGCGCCAUCCCCAGGGCAGGCAAGUAUCCUGCUUAAUGCUGUGAGUGACUUGCUUAGCAUUGGAACAACCAUUGUGUCCUCCCGCACAAUGAUGAGAAAGUCAGGGCUGCUCAGAGGUGAUGUGAUCUUAGAGAUCAGCACUUGCUGUUUGCUUAUCUCUGUACAGUUUACUUUGUCUCGUGUGAGCCCCUCAAGAAUCAGCAGGCCUUGAGAAACCAAUUCUUUGGGUCCUCUAAAGGUAUAAGUAAAUCUCGACUCCUUUAUA
This 25581-nucleotide long non-coding RNA is filed under the name Setaria italica (foxtail millet). RNAcentral describes it as "long non-coding RNA (SITA_LNC000821)". The record is from RNAcentral. Lineage: Eukaryota; Viridiplantae; Streptophyta; Magnoliopsida; Poales; Poaceae.